RNAcentral lists this ribosomal RNA (497 nucleotides) under uncultured bacterium. RNAcentral describes it as "partial 16S ribosomal RNA". It matches the Rfam family "Bacterial small subunit ribosomal RNA", at positions 28 to 507 of the family's 1533-position model. The record is from RNAcentral.
GAUGAACGCUGGCGGCGUGCCUAAUACAUGCAAGUCGAGCGAACGGACGAGAAGCUUGCUUCUCUGAUGUUAGCGGCGGACGGGUGUGUAACACGUGGAUAACCUACCUAUAAGACUGGGAUAACUUCGGGAAAGCGGAGCUAAUACCGGAUAAUAUUUUGAACCGCAUGGUUCAAAAGUGAAAGACGGUCUUGCUGUCACUUAUAGAUGGAUCUGCGCUGCAUUAGCUAGUUGGUAAGGUCACGGCUUACCAAGGUAACGAUGCAUAGCCGACCUGAGAGAGGGAUAGGCCAAACUGGAGCUGAGACACGGUCCAGACUCCUACGGGAGGCAGCAGUAGGGAAUCUUCCGCAAUGGGCGAAAACCUGACGGAGCAACGCCGCGUGAGUGAUGAAGAUCUUCGGAUCGUAAAGCUCUGUUAUUAGGGAAAAACAGAUGUGUAAGUAACUGUACACAGCUUGACGGUACCUAAUCAAGAAGCCACGGCUAACUACGUG